ACUAUUUUGGCAGAAAAUUGUGAUGAUUUUAGAAUUCAUUUAUGUAUAGUUUAUAAUAUAUAGGUAGUA
This 69-nucleotide transfer RNA is filed under the name Abisara fylla. Its description in RNAcentral is "tRNA-Leu". Lineage: Eukaryota; Metazoa; Arthropoda; Insecta; Lepidoptera; Riodinidae. The record is from RNAcentral.